RNAcentral lists this unclassified non-coding RNA (4679 nucleotides) under Leishmania donovani. RNAcentral describes it as "gene:LdHU3.24.2790(CDS-product:Trypanosome_basal_ body_component_protein)". Lineage: Eukaryota; Euglenozoa; Kinetoplastea; Trypanosomatida; Trypanosomatidae. The record is from RNAcentral.
GUACGCACUUGGCGUUGCCACUUCCCUUAGUUUGGUGAGCCGGGCCUGUGCGUAUCUCAUCGGUCUCCUGGCCAUCCUCUUACCCUGCUACCCGUUGUGUCUACGGAGUGCGCCGUCCCUUUCUCUUCGCACGAGAGAGCGCGUACACACGAGCAACAGAGCGAGAGACGAGGUGACUGACAACAGUGCGCUACACCGGCUCCGCAUUUUUGAGCUGCUGCACCAUGGUCUCCGAUGGGGCACAGAAGAGUGGGCCAGUACCGGGCGACCACGUUGACCAGCUCCUAGAGGAGUACCUGCGAGUCAUCAACGACAAGGAUGACCAGCUUCACCGUCUGCUCCGACAACUGCAAGAUCAAGAGGCAGCUGCCGGGCAGAGGGAGGAGGGCCACACCGCAAAGCAGAGACAGCUUUCGGAGCAGCUGCAGAGCAAGAGCAAAAAACUAAAGGAGAUGCAGGCGCAGUCCGCGCGUGAUGAGGAGGCGACUCGCAAACUCGUGCUCAACUCGGAGGCCCUCAAGAAGCAACUGCAGGAGAGCGAGGAGCACGCCAAGAGCCACGCGGUUGCGGCAGCUGAAGCCGCGGCAAAGCUUCACCGACUGGAAUGUGAAUUGUCCAACGCCCAGGCCACCCUUGCGGCGGUACAGGCCCAAAAAACGAAAUGCGACGAGGGAUGGGCGGCAACCCAGCUGCAGCUGGAGGCGCAGACCGCUGCUGUCGCGGACCUCAAGGGUGAGCUGGAGGUAGCUAAGCGGACACUAGGUGAGGCUCGGUCACAUGCGCAGCAGCUGCAGGCGCGCAUUCAGGAAAUGAUGCCGAUUCACGAGCACACGUCGGCGCUCGCCGCACUCGAGGCAAAGUCGGCGAGUGAGCGUGUAAAGAGCAAUCAAGACAUAGAAAAACUGCAAGAAGCGCUCUCUAGCGGCGAGAUAGAUCACCGUACGACGAAGCAGGAGCUUCGGAAAGCGCAGCAAGACGUGGAGGAGUUGACGGCCUUGCUACAGACCACCACGAAGUCGCUCGAUACCACUAAGCACCAGCUCAUGACGGCGGACUUGACGAAGCAGCAAACGGAACGAGAGCUGCGCGAGGAGGCAGCGCGGUGCCGGCGAGCGCAGAUGGAGUCUGCCGAGCGCGUUGGUGAGCUGGAGCGGUCCUUGGCGCGAUCGCAAGAGGUGCUCCAGCGCACCACGGCGGAGCUGCAGGCAGCCUGCGCCCAACACGAGCGCUACAAGGCGGUAUCGGAAAAGGCGCACGAGGGGGUGCAGGCACAAAACCGCACGCUGCAGGAGCAGCUGCGGCAAUCUCAGGACGAGGCGGACCGCGCGCGUCGGCUACUCGAGACCCGAGAGCGGGCGAUCAGCGACAGCGCCGACUCUCUAGCUCGCGUUCGUGAGGAGGCGACUCGCACGCAAGCAGAGCUGCGUGAGAGGCUGGCCACUGCCACGGCUGCCGCGGCUUCUCGAGCUGAGGAGUGUGAUCGUCUGCAGCACCAACUGAGCCGCGCGCAGUCGGAGCUGGCGGAUGCGCAACGGCGCACUGCUGCCGACGAGCAUAGCCUGGCGCAGAAGCUGGAGGAGCUGCAGGCCGGUGUGCAGCGUCUUCAUCUGCAGCUCCGAGACAAGGAGGAGGAGACGCGCCGUGCCGAGCUCGUUCACGGCAAGGAGCUGCAGAAGCUUCAGCACGACCACGCAUUCGCCGUAGAAGACAUGCGGCGCCGCCACGAGAGCGAGGUGCAGGACUUGCACGCGCGGCUGGAGCUCGCGCGCGCGGAGCUAAGUGAGAGGGCGGGUGGAUCAAAGGGGCUGGAGAAAGAACUCCAUCACGUCGCGGAGGUGCGGCAGAGCAUGCGGAGCGAGAUGAGCCGCCUGCAAAACGCCAUCGAAGCGAAGGAGAUUAUCAUUCAGGGCCUACAGCGCGAGGCCGAUAAGCAGCAGGCAGAGGUUGCCCAGCUCACGCAACGCUUGGCCGCGCAUGAGAGGAGUGAAGGCGUCCUGCGGCAGCGUAUUGAGGAGGCGGAGCGGGCUCAACUGGACUCCAAGGCAGCAAGAGAAAGAGCAGAGGAGAGCGUGGUGGCCAUCAGGAAAACCGCAGAGGUGAACGCCGCCACCCUUGCUGCGGUGGAGGCCCAGCUGAGCGAGAAGGACGGUGCCAUCGCCGCCCUCCGUAUGGAGGUGAGGGAGUGCGUAGAGGCGAAGCAGGUGGCCUUCAAGGAGGUCAUGCAGGAGAAGGCGAACUGUGACAAGCUAACACUCUCCUUGAAGGCAACGGAGGAGCGGUUUGACAAGGCUGAGAUGGAGCUGCGUGUCGCCUUGCAGGAGCAACAGCGGUUGCAGCGCUGCGUCGACGAGAAGUCGAAGGAGCUGCGGCGCCUCAAGGAGGAGGGGGAACUGCGCGAUGCGGACUGUGCACGCCUUGCACGCCACGCAGAGGACGUGGAGUCGCUUGCCAAGCGCACUGCUGAGGAGCUGCGCCAGACGAUCCACGAGCGUGACGACACUAUUCAGCGCCUGCGCAGCGAGCAGGCGACGGUACUUCCCCACCUUAACGAAGAGAAGGGCAAGAGUCUUGUUCUGCUAGAAAAGUUGCAGCAUCAGCAGGAGCUUAGCCGCAUGCACAUGGACAACGCCCAGCAGCGCAUCCGCAGCCUGGAGGAGGCCGUGGCGGCGCGAGAGGCGGAGGUGGCCGCGCUUCAAUGCGACAAGGCGCGCGCCGAGCAGCAGCUUCUAGAGGUUCAAGCACAAGUGACAACGCUCACCGGCACCCUCGACAGUCGUGAGCAUAAGUACCAGCAGCGCAAGGAGGAGGUCCAGAAGGCGCUGCAGCAGGUGGAGGAAGUCAAGGCAGCUACAGUGGUGGCGCUUGAGCGUGCCGAGGGGCAGACAGCCGCCGCCAACGCGAUUCGCGAGAGGUACAAGGCGGAAAAGGCGAAGAUGGAGGUCCUCUUGCAGCGCAUGGAGGAGCGGGUGCGGGCGUCGGCGAAGCGCGAGGAGGAGGAUCGUCAGCGGGAAGCCGACCUGAUGGAGAAGCUCACGGAGACGGAGGAGGCGCUGCGGCGAGCGCAGGACACCGUGGACUCACGUGUCAGUGAGGUGAAGGCGCGUUACGAAGAGAUGCGCCGCCAACAGGAGGAGUCGUUCCGCGACGCCACGAACGGUGCCGUGGCUGCCGAGAAGCUCGCGACCUCUUUGCAAAUGCAGCUGCGCGAGGUGCAGCGCAGAGCGCUGACUGCAGAGGGUAGCUACCGCGAGCUGCAGCGCCACGUCGCAGCGUCCCGAGCUCUGGCACUGGAGGAGUACGCGGAGGAGGCAACGGAAAUGAAGCGAGCGUGCAUGGAACUUGUUCUGCGUGCGCACAGCGGCACCGUGUCCCGCGCCGCAAGCGUUGCCAAGGACAGCUGGUCUGUCGCCCAGAAGAUAGCAGCCGAUCUCUGCGAAGGCGCGAGGGACACGGAGCGGCAUCUGACGCGCCUUCAGUUGAAACACAAGGCGGAGCUGCAAGCCGUCGAGGAGGCGCACCAGCGGCGGAUGGAGGCUGCCGCGGCAGAGCACCACGAGGAAGUUGCGCGUGUUCAGAGAGAGCUGGCUGAGGCGGAGCGGUGCGUGCUGGCACUCAAAGAAGCAGCGCAGCGCACCGACAGCGACCGAGAGCAGCGCACGCACGCCUUGAAGGACUCUCUGGAACGCGUGACAGCGUUGCUGGAGAUGGAGAAACGCCAGACGGCCUCCCUGCACGAGAGGGUGGCUGCAGAUGAGGCGAAGCGCAGCAGUGAUGCGCGCGCUGCCGAGGAGGCGCGUCGAAACCUGCAGCACCAUUACGACAAGCUAAAGCGUCAGCUGGAUGAUCGAGUCGUGGAGCAGAAGCACAACGAGGACGAGCUUCGGGAGCUGCGUGCAGAAGUUGCCGCGCUGCAACGCGUGCUGGGCGAGACAAGGCGGGAGGCGAAGCAAGAGGCCGACCGGGUCACGAAGGAGCAGGAGCGAUUGAUGGCCGCCGUUGAGGCCCGCGAAGUCGCGGAGCAGCGCUGCGGCGAGCUGCAAAAGCAGAUAAACUUCAUGCGCGGACAGCUCGAGACGGCGCGGCUGAGCCACGAGCGCGUCGUCGCCGAGCAUCAGGCGACCCAGCGGACCCGUGAUGUGCGACUCGAGGCAGCGCAAGCAGAGCUCGCCACUGCCGUUGCCGAGAGGCGCAGGUACCAGCGCGAGGGGGAGAGCCUGGAGCAGCGGGUGAAGGAGCUGACAAAAGAGGUACAAACGCUGCGCCAGCACGAGGCAGACAUCCUCGGGCAGCUGCAGUCAUACAAGGCGGAAACCUCAGCGCUGCGUGAGCGGUGCGCGAACGUGGAGUCGCUCAAGAACAUUAGCGAGGCCUCCCUCGCCGAAACGCAAGCGCGCGAGCGAGACCUGAUGGAGAAGAUCGAGGAGCUGCGCAACGCCCAGCAGCUCAUGCAGCUGUGCUUUGACAAACAACAGGAGCAGCUGGAAGUGGGCCGACGCCUCCGCCAGCAGGACGCGCUGCAGGGGCCUCGGUUUUCCUCGUAGCGGCCCUCAGUGUUGGGUGGUGCUGUCUGCGUGCACUGACCUUUUGUUACUUGUACAGUAGAGAAUGACGCCCAUAGACGUAAGCGUAGACGUAGAGGUGCGUAUGCUUGUGUGUGUACGUGGGUGAGUAUGCUUGUC